AGAGGAGGGGAUGGGUUAUAUCUGAGCUCAGGGCCGAGGAUUAGGCAGAGAACAGUCCCAGUACGAUGACAGCAUCCAGCACAUAGCCAAACCCCCCACACAUCACUUCACCAUCACCGUCCGGCCCGGGGAGGACGCCGGGGAUAUUUUUCAAAGACAAACAUCAUUCGACCUAAAAAAAAAAAAAAAAAUCUGCGCAUCAGUGAUAUUUUCUGGGUUCACGUUGCCAGUCUCCCGGUCCGUCUGUCUCCUCCUCCGACCACGAGGUGGCCGCAACCAGGUUGGGAUUGGCCCUGAUGAUCACACGGAGCCCCCUCCACCUCUUUUCAGCCAAUCUCGGAGGGGCUGCAGAGCUGAUGUCUCAGAGGGCGAGAGGUUAUUUGUGUUCUGGAGUCUUGAAGAGACAAGCCACAUCACGAUAAAUGGAGGAGAAGGAGCGAUGUAGGAGCAGGUCUCCAGCUCGGAGGGCAAGUCGGGUGCAGCAGGUGGUGGGAACAAUAAUACGUCGCACGCGAGAGUCGCU
Molecule: non-coding RNA, 523 nt
Organism: Labrus bergylta (ballan wrasse)
Lineage: Eukaryota; Metazoa; Chordata; Actinopteri; Labriformes; Labridae
Source: RefSeq, a predicted model, not a curated record